RNAcentral lists this ribosomal RNA (786 nucleotides) under Limosilactobacillus fermentum. RNAcentral describes it as "bacterial SSU rRNA". It matches the Rfam family "Bacterial small subunit ribosomal RNA", at positions 61 to 820 of the family's 1533-position model. The record is from RNAcentral. Lineage: Bacteria; Bacillati; Bacillota; Bacilli; Lactobacillales; Lactobacillaceae.
AUUGAUUGAUGGUGCUUGCACCUGAUUGAUUUUGGUCGCCAACGAGUGGCGGACGGGUGAGUAACACGUAGGUAACCUGCCCAGAAGCGGGGGACAACAUUUGGAAACAGAUGCUAAUACCGCAUAACAACGUUGUUCGCAUGAACAACGCUUAAAAGAUGGCUUCUCGCUAUCACUUCUGGAUGGACCUGCGGUGCAUUAGCUUGUUGGUGGGGUAACGGCCUACCAAGGCGAUGAUGCAUAGCCGAGUUGAGAGACUGAUCGGCCACAAUGGGACUGAGACACGGCCCAUACUCCUACGGGAGGCAGCAGUAGGGAAUCUUCCACAAUGGGCGCAAGCCUGAUGGAGCAACACCGCGUGAGUGAAGAAGGGUUUCGGCUCGUAAAGCUCUGUUGUUAAAGAAGAACACGUAUGAGAGUAACUGUUCAUACGUUGACGGUAUUUAACCAGAAAGUCACGGCUAACUACGUGCCAGCAGCCGCGGUAAUACGUAGGUGGCAAGCGUUAUCCGGAUUUAUUGGGCGUAAAGAGAGUGCAGGCGGUUUUCUAAGUCUGAUGUGAAAGCCUUCGGCUUACCCGGAGAAGUGCAUCGGAAACUGGAUAACUUGAGUGCAGAAGAGGGGUAGUGGAACUCCUGGUGUAGCGGUGGAAUGCGUAGAAUUAUGGAAGAACACCAGUGGCGAAGGCGGCUACCUGGUCUGCAACUGACGCUGAGACUCGAAAGCAUGGGUAGCGAACAGGAUUAGAUACCCUGGUAGUCCAUGCCGUAAACGAUGAGUGCUAGG